CAGACCUGCUAAACGGAAAAGUAG
This 24-nucleotide ribosomal RNA is filed under the name Campylium protensum. Its description in RNAcentral is "partial 26S ribosomal RNA". Lineage: Eukaryota; Viridiplantae; Streptophyta; Bryopsida; Hypnales; Amblystegiaceae. The record is from RNAcentral.